RNAcentral lists this transfer RNA (69 nucleotides) under Sphaerodactylus townsendi. RNAcentral's name for it is "tRNA-Ser". Lineage: Eukaryota; Metazoa; Chordata; Lepidosauria; Squamata; Sphaerodactylidae. The record is from RNAcentral.
GCUGUGGCUCAGUGGUAAAACAUGUGCUUGGAAUGCAGAAAGUCCUAGGUUCAGUCCUCAGCAUCUCCA